AUCCUGUUUUCCUCUGACUUAUGAUAUCAUGAACUCUUUCCCGGCUCAUGAAAUAUUCUCUGAAAACAACACCUUUAAUAAUUCUGCUCUGGGACAGGAAGGACACGGUCCAUUAUGUUCAGCCCUGUGUCUUCAACACUCAGCACGGUGUCCGGCACAGGCUCUUGACUGCAACCCCCGGACCGGCGGCUUUCCCACCCCAACCUUCCUGCUCUACGUUGUCUGGCUGCUCUGAGGUUUCCUGUGCUUCCAUCUCAGAUGUUCAGAGACCCAGGGUCCCUGUCCAGCCAAACUACUGUGUUGUUGAAGUUAAGAUUUUCACAUGACCUCUCUUGUGUUGGCUGCGAAGGCGUGUGGUGCUCUUCCAAGAGUGCUUCCAGGCCCCCAGUGGCAGAGACUGGUAUGUUUAAACGGUCUCCAGUGGGUGAUGAGGUAAGACAGAUAGGGUGGAUCUUACUGUCAAUUCCACGCCAGUCUCCACACUCUUUGGUAACAAAUGCAACACAUUCGCUACGCUCACACUUUGAGAAUCAUGGAAAGAAGUUUUAUGAAGUACUUUUAUUUUUUAACUAAUUAAUUAGAGAGAGAAUGAGAAUGAGCAAGGGGAAGGGGGAGGGAGAAGGAGAGAGAAUCCCGAGCCGACUCUGUGCUGAGCCCAGAGCCCAACAUGGGGCUCCAUCUCAUGACC
Long non-coding RNA from Nyctereutes procyonoides (raccoon dog), 688 nucleotides. RefSeq lists it as uncharacterized. Lineage: Eukaryota; Metazoa; Chordata; Mammalia; Carnivora; Canidae. The transcript has 3 exons. The record is from RefSeq and is a predicted model, not a curated record.